RNAcentral lists this long non-coding RNA (318 nucleotides) under Setaria viridis. Its description in RNAcentral is "long non-coding RNA (SVIR_LNC000473)". The record is from RNAcentral. Lineage: Eukaryota; Viridiplantae; Streptophyta; Magnoliopsida; Poales; Poaceae.
CCUCACAUGUCUCGUAUGAUUCAAAAUCAAACGAAGUUAGAAGUCCAUCAGAAUGGAGCUUCUUCAUGCGCUUUUCACUUAUAUGACCCAAACGACAAUGCCACAAGUAGGUAGGACUCAAAUCAUUAGGCUGAGGCCUUUUAGCACUUACGUUACAGACAGGUGAACCAUCAAGAUUUAAAACAAAUAAUCCAUUCACAAUGGGUGCAAAAGCCAUAAACAUAUCAUUCUUAGAGAUCACACAACCAUUAUUUUCACUCGCAAAUGAAUAACCAUCCUUCAUCAAGCAUGAAGGAGACAAAAUGUUUCGACUUAAAC